UACCAGCUCUCCGAGUGGUAGGGAUGAUUAUUGGGCUUAAAGCGUCCGUAGCCGGCUUAGCAAGUCUCCUGUUAAAUUCAGCGACCUAAUCGUUGAGCCGCGGGAGAUACUACUAGGCUAGGAGGCGGGAGAGGUCAACGGUACUUCCGGGGUAGGGGUGAAAUCCUAUAAUCCCGGGAGGACCACCAGUGGCGAAGGCUGUUGACUAGAACGCGCUCGACGGUGAGGGACGAAAGCUGGGGGAGCGAACCGGAUUAGAUACCCGGGUAGUCCCAGCUGUAAACGAUGCGAGCUAGGUGUUGGGGUGGCUACGUGCCACUUCAGUGCCGCAGGGAAGCCAUUAAGCUCGCCGCCUGGUGAGUACGGCCGCAAGGCUAGAAACUUAAAGGAAUUGGGCGGGGGAGCACCACAAGGCGUGAAGCUUGCGGUUC
RNAcentral lists this ribosomal RNA (431 nucleotides) under uncultured archaeon. RNAcentral describes it as "bacterial SSU rRNA". It matches the Rfam family "Archaeal small subunit ribosomal RNA", at positions 474 to 903 of the family's 1478-position model. The record is from RNAcentral.